GACGAACGCUGGCGGCGUGCCUAACACAUGCAAGUCGAACGAACAGACGAGGAGCUUGCUCCUCUCACGUUAGCGGCGCACGGGUGAGUAACACGUGGAUAACCCCCCUAUCAGACUGGGAUAUAUUCGGGACACCGGAGCUAAUACCGGAUAAUAUCUUGCACCGCAUGGUUCAAUAGUGAAAGACGGUUUUGCUGUCACGUAUAGAUGGAUCCGCGCCGCAUUAGCUAGUCGGUGAGGUCAAGGGUUACCAAGGCAACGAUGCGUAGCCGAGCUGAGAGGAGGGUCGGCCGCACUGGAGCGGGACCACGGCCCAGACUCCUACGGGAGGCAGCAGUAGGGAAUCUUCCGCAGUAGGCGAAAGCCUGGCGGAACGACGCGGCGUGAGUGAUGAAAGUCUUCGGAUCGUAAAACUCUGUUAUUAGGGAAGAACAGAUGUGUAAGUUACUAUGCACGUCUUGACGGUACCUAGUCAAAAAGCCACGGCUAACUACGUG
Molecule: ribosomal RNA, 497 nt
Filed under: uncultured bacterium
Lineage: Bacteria
Description: partial 16S ribosomal RNA
Rfam family: Bacterial small subunit ribosomal RNA
Source: RNAcentral